UACAGAGGUCUCGAGCGUUGUUCGGAUUCAUUGGGCGUAAAGGGUGCGUAGGUGGCGCUGUAAGUCAGGUGUGAAAUUUCGGAGCUUAACUCCGAAACUGCAUUUGAUACUGCGGUGCUUGAGGACUGGAGAGGAGACUGGAAUUUACGGUGCAGCAGUGAAAUGCGUAGAGAUCGUAAGGAAGACCAGUGGCGAAGGCGGGUCUCUGGACAGUUCCUGACACUGAGGCACGAAGGCCAGGGGAGCAAACGGG
Molecule: ribosomal RNA, 253 nt
Filed under: uncultured bacterium
Lineage: Bacteria
Description: partial 16S ribosomal RNA
Rfam family: Bacterial small subunit ribosomal RNA
Source: RNAcentral